UCCGUAGGCGGUGCGGCAAGUCGGAAGUGAAAUACUCCGGGCUUAACUCGGAGGCUGCUUCCGAAACUGCCGUGCUCGAGUGCGAGAGAGGCAAGUGGAAUUGCGGGUGUAGCGGUGAAAUGCGUAGAUAUCCGCAGGAACAUCCGAGGCGAAAGCGGCUUGCUGGAUCGCAACUGACGCUGAGGGACGAAAGCUAGGGGAGCAAACAGGAUUAGAUACCCUGGUAGUCCUAGCCCUAAACCAUCAGGACUUGGGGUUUGCCCUGUACGGGGCAAGUCCCGGAGCUAACGCGUUAAGUCCUGCGCCUGGGGAGUACGGUCGCAAGGCUGAA
RNAcentral lists this ribosomal RNA (331 nucleotides) under uncultured bacterium. RNAcentral's name for it is "bacterial SSU rRNA". It matches the Rfam family "Bacterial small subunit ribosomal RNA", at positions 568 to 898 of the family's 1533-position model. The record is from RNAcentral.